Molecule: RNA transcript, 1573 nt
Organism: Arvicola amphibius (Eurasian water vole)
Lineage: Eukaryota; Metazoa; Chordata; Mammalia; Rodentia; Cricetidae
Gene: Lat
Gene name: linker for activation of T cells
Exons: 7
Source: RefSeq, a predicted model, not a curated record
GCAACCCAAGGAGUUUGGUGCUAUUUGUAACGGAUAAAAUUUGUAAGCAGACUGUGACGACUGCUUGUCUCUCUGUGGGUGCCAUUGGUUUCAGGGAAGUCUGUAGCCUCAGGAACUUACCAGGGCAGUCGGGUCACCCCUGUGGUGAGUCCAUGUCUUCGGGGCUGGGCGAUCUAGAAGGAGGACCGCUCUCUUCUGAGUGAGUUGGUUCGGUGUGACGUGACUCACUGUGGUCCCCUGGAAGUUGAUCUCCCAGAGGCAAGCCUGCAAGGUGGGGGCAGUGCUGUCCUUGCUUUCCACAGUCCACUAGCAGAGUCUCCCCUCCAGGGAUGGGGAGGCCACAGCCGGCCCAGCUGGCACCUGUCUCCCUAGCAGAGGGGCUGCCUCGUCCUGCAGCCUCGGACCCCUUCCUUCACUUAGUCCCGCUGCCCUCCUCCCCCUUCCCACAACUGGUGGGGGUGAGUGGGCAGGGGGCAGGCGCAGCCGGCUGAGGAGCCUGAUGAUUUCCUGCCUUCACCACAGCUUCCUGUCGCACGCGGGGUGGUGAGGAGGAGAAGCAGGCGGGGAACAAGAAAGGGGCAGUAAGCUGGGCACGGGAUCGCGCCACUGGUAGCUGGGGCACAGGCCCAACACUGAUCUCAACUCAGUCCAGCAAGAAGCGGGGGUCAUUGAGCCCCAAAGAAGGACACAGCUAACUGCCACUGGAUCCCAGGCUGGGGCCACACUCAGUCCCACACCACUUGCUGCCAUCUGCCUGGAGGGGCUGCGGUGCAGUGGGGCCUGGGCCAGGUGCUCUGCAGAUGGAAGCAGACACUCUGAGCCCCCAUGGGGCUGGGCUCCUGUUGCUGCCCCUUCUUGGUCACGCUCCUGGCUGCCUGUGCUGCGCUGCCGUGAGCUGCCAGCUUCCUAUGACACUGUGUCCACAGAGAGGUUGUACCCAAGCAAUACCUUCAUCAACCCAACUCAAAUAACAGCCCCCCAACAACUGCCACUUCGUAUCCUCCUGUAGCUUCCUUCCCACCCCUGAUGCAGCCAGACCUGAGAUCCCCACAGCCCUUUGGGGUUCCCAUCGGAUUGCCAUUUUGCCAGCAGGAUUCAAAUGAUGCCAACAGUGUGGCGAGCUACGAGAACCAGGAGCCAGCCAGUAAGAAUGAGGACGACGACGAGGAGGACGGAUGGACUACCCCAAUGAGGGCUACACUGUGAGUGGAGAGGUAGAGGGUGGGAGUGGAAGCUGGGUCCCCUUUUCUUACCUCCUCAUUCCUUCCUUCCAGAGAGGUGCUUCCUGGACAGCACCCCCUGCCACCAUUCCCGUCGUCUCCUCUGCUCCUGUGCCCAGCAACCCUGGCCUCCGGGACAGUGCCUUCUCCAGUGAGUCAGGGAUUCUGUCCGCCUCCUUCCGCCAUGUGCUGCUGCUCCUCGCUUCCCUCUCAUUUCUGCGAUGAUCGCUGCCCUUCCAUUUCCUCCUUCAGGAUGCUGGUUCCUGCUCUUCGCUUCUGAUUGCCUGGCUUUUCCUUACACCUUUCCACCUCUUUGUCUUAUCAUUUUUUGUCUAUUGUCUGAAUGUCCUGAU